RNAcentral lists this microRNA precursor (103 nucleotides) under Marmota monax (woodchuck). Lineage: Eukaryota; Metazoa; Chordata; Mammalia; Rodentia; Sciuridae. The record is from RNAcentral.
AGAGUCACUAUGGGAUCUUGUUAAAAUGCAUAUUCAGGUUCACUGUAGCUGGGGAAGGGAGCUAAGCUUCUUCAUUUCUAACAAGUUCUCAGGUAUGGAAGCU